CUACGUAGGUGGCGAGCGUUAUCCGGAAUUAUUGGGCGUAAAGAGCAUGUAGGCGGCUUAAUAAGUCGAGCGUGAAAAUGCGGGGCUCAACCCCGUAUGGCGCUGGAAACUGUUAGGCUUGAGUGCAGGAGAGGAAAGGGGAAUUCCCAGGGUAGCGGUGAAAUGCGUAGAUAUUGGGAGGAACACCAGUGGCGAAGGCGCCUUUCUGGACUGUGUCUGACGCUGAGAUGCGAAAGCCAGGGUAGCGAACGGGAUUAGAUACCCCGGUAGUCCUGGCCGUAAACGAUGGGUACUAGGUGUAGGAGGUAUCGACCCCUUCUGUGCCGGAGUUAACGCAAUAAGUACCCCGCCUGGGGAGUACGGCCGCAAGGUUGAAACUCAAAUGAAUUGACGGGG
Molecule: ribosomal RNA, 396 nt
Filed under: uncultured bacterium
Lineage: Bacteria
Description: partial 16S ribosomal RNA
Rfam family: Bacterial small subunit ribosomal RNA
Source: RNAcentral